AACUUAUCAUACUUGGAAAAUCU
RNAcentral lists this small nuclear RNA (23 nucleotides) under Arabidopsis thaliana (thale cress). RNAcentral describes it as "snRNA_13832". The record is from RNAcentral. Lineage: Eukaryota; Viridiplantae; Streptophyta; Magnoliopsida; Brassicales; Brassicaceae.